RNAcentral lists this ribosomal RNA (301 nucleotides) under uncultured bacterium. RNAcentral's name for it is "partial 16S ribosomal RNA". It matches the Rfam family "Bacterial small subunit ribosomal RNA", at positions 509 to 807 of the family's 1533-position model. The record is from RNAcentral.
CAGUCGCCGCGGGAAUACGGAAGGUCCAGGCGUUAUCCGGAUUUAUUGGGUUUAAAGGGAGCGUAGGCCGGAGAUUAAGUGUGUUGUGAAAUGUAGACACUCAACGUCUGACUUGCAGCGCAUACUGGUUUCCUUGAGUACGCACAACGUUGGCGGAAUUCGUCGUGUAGCGGUGAAAUGCUUAGAUAUGACGAAGAACUCCGAUUGCGAAGGCAGCUGACGGGAGCGCAACUGACGCUUAAGCUCGAAGGUGCGGGUAUCAAACAGGAUUAGAUACCCCGGUAGUCCCUGUCUCUUAUAC